This 440-nucleotide ribosomal RNA is filed under the name uncultured Clostridium sp. RNAcentral describes it as "bacterial SSU rRNA". It matches the Rfam family "Bacterial small subunit ribosomal RNA", at positions 338 to 795 of the family's 1533-position model. The record is from RNAcentral. Lineage: Bacteria; Bacillati; Bacillota; Clostridia; Eubacteriales; Clostridiaceae.
CCUACGGGUGGCUGCAGUGGGGAAUAUUGCACAAUGGGCGAAAGCCUGAUGCAGCAACGCCGCGUGAGUGAUGAAGGCCUUCGGGUUGUAAAGCUCUGUCUUUGGGGACGAUAAUGACGGUACCCAAGGAGGAAGCCACGGCUAACUACGUGCCAGCAGCCGCGGUAAUACGUAGGUGGCAAGCGUUGUCCGGAUUUACUGGGCGUAAAGGGUGCGUAGGCGGAUAUUUAAGUGAGAUGUGAAAUUCCCGGGCUUAACUUGGGAGCUGCAUUUCAAACUGGAUAUCUAGAGUGUGGGAGAGGAGAAUGGAAUUCCUAGUGUAGCGGUGAAAUGCGUAGAGAUUAGGAAGAACACCAGUGGCGAAGGCGAUUCUCUGGACCAUAACUGACGCUGAGGCAUGAAAGCGUGGGUAGCAAACAGGAUUAGAUACCCCAGUAGUC